CAGUAGCCGCGGGAAUACGUAGGGUGCAAGCGUUAAUCGGAAUUACUGGGCGUAAAGCGUGCGCAGGCGGUUUGUUAAGACAGAUGUGAAAUCCCCGGGCUCAACCUGGGAACUACAUUUGUGACUGUAUAGCUAGAGUACGGCAGAGGGGGAUGGAAUUCCGCGUGUAGCAGUGAAAUGCGUAGAUAUGCGGAGGAACACCGAUGGCGAAGGCAAUCCCCUGGGCCUGUACUGACGCUCAUGCACGAAAGCGUGGGGAGCAAACAGGAUUAGAUACCCCUGUAGUCCCUGUCUCUUAUAC
RNAcentral lists this ribosomal RNA (301 nucleotides) under uncultured bacterium. RNAcentral's name for it is "partial 16S ribosomal RNA". It matches the Rfam family "Bacterial small subunit ribosomal RNA", at positions 509 to 807 of the family's 1533-position model. The record is from RNAcentral.